CUGGGGGGGUACCCUGGAGGAAGGGGCCAGGUGCUGAGGGAGAGAGCCCUGAGUCUGCUGCCCCAGAGAGGGCAUAGAGCUGGUCAGAAUGGAGCAGCUGCCAGAGGCCCAUGAGAGGGGUGAAGCUAAAACCUGAAAAUUCUGAUAUGUACGUGGUGCCUUUCACCAGCUCUUCACUGACUUUCCAGACAAGGUCACCAUCAGCCUGGUUUCAGCUCUGACGUGGGAUUGGCUAAUUAACUUCCUGAUCCACAAUGCCAUGGAAAGAAGGGGGGACAAGAUAAUUUUCGACAGAUGAAGGAAGGCCUUCGGCAGCUGAAAGGCUAACUAAUUUAUCUUCAAAGUCAACAGAUAUUCAGGCUUCAGGAGACUCACAUAAUUAAUUUAUACGAGGAACUCCACACUGCUGGGUCACACAGCAAUGGUCUGGAUGCUAGUGUCCCCCAGCUCUGAAGCCAGAUCUGGGUCCAGAUCCUCCCGUGGAAUAAAUCAGCAUAGGUCCACUGACACCCUCUUACUCCAGGCAGGUUGUGAAUUCUGGAGAGGAGUUUAGGGAGCUGUUAACCAAGCCAUUCUAGGUGACAAAAAUUAA
Molecule: long non-coding RNA, 592 nt
Organism: Chelonia mydas (Green sea turtle)
Lineage: Eukaryota; Metazoa; Chordata; Testudines; Cheloniidae
Exons: 3
Source: RefSeq, a predicted model, not a curated record